RNAcentral lists this ribosomal RNA (253 nucleotides) under uncultured bacterium. Its description in RNAcentral is "partial 16S ribosomal RNA". It matches the Rfam family "Bacterial small subunit ribosomal RNA", at positions 524 to 776 of the family's 1533-position model. The record is from RNAcentral.
UACGAAGGGGGCUAGCGUUGCUCGGAAUUACUGGGCGUAAAGGGCGCGUAGGCGGACAACUUAGUCAGAGGUGAAAGCCCAGGGCUCAACCUUGGAAUUGCCUUUGAUACUGGUUGUCUUGAGUUCGGGAGAGGUGAGUGGAAUGCCGAGUGUAGAGGUGAAAUUCGUAGAUAUUCGCAAGAACACCAGUGGCGAAGGCGGCUCACUGGCCCGAUACUGACGCUGAGGUGCGAAAGCGUGGGGAGCAAACAGG